AAACUGCUAAAGUGUCUUCCAAAGUGACCGCACUAUUUUGCAGUACCACCUGCAGUGAAUGAAGGUUCCUGCUGCUCCACAUCCUCACCAGCAUUUCACGCUGUCAGUGUUCUGGAUUUUGGUCAUCCUAAUAGAAAACAACUGGGCAGGAAGCAAGUGGUAAUUGAAGGGGCACACUGCUGCACAAGAGGUUGCUCUGUAAGAGGAGCAGAUUGAGGAGAUCGGAUUUUCAUGUCUUGUGCCUUUCACCGUAUCACAGCACUGGGACACAGAAAAGGAAACUACCAUCUAAAUUCAGCCAUGCCAUCUGACUUGGUAGCAGUGAUGACGUUUGGAGUUUAGAACUUGAAGGUGCAAUGGAGGAAUAGUUUUAACAAAAAAUACUGAAGGC
Molecule: long non-coding RNA, 391 nt
Organism: Diceros bicornis minor
Lineage: Eukaryota; Metazoa; Chordata; Mammalia; Perissodactyla; Rhinocerotidae
Exons: 4
Source: RefSeq, a predicted model, not a curated record